GGCCAAGUUUUUAAGGGCGCACGGUGGAUGCCUUGGCACCAGGAACCGAUGAAGGACGUGGGAGGCCACGAUAGUCCCCGGGGAGCCGUCAACCAGGCUUUGAUCCGGGGGUUUCCGAAUGGGGAAACCCGGCAGUCGUCAUGGGCUGUCACCCAUGCCUGAACACAUAGGGCAUGUGGAGGGAACGAGGGGAAGUGAAACAUCUCAGUACCCUCAGGAAGAGAAAACAACCGUGAUUCCGGGAGUAGUGGCGAGCGAAACCGGAUGAGGCCAAACCGUAUGCGUGUGAUACCCGGCAGGGGUUGCGCAUGCGGGGUUGUGGGAUCUCUUUUUCACAGUCUGCCGGCUGUGAGGCGAGUCAGAAACCGUAUGGGUAGGCGAAGGACAUGCGAAAGGUCCGGCGUAGAGGGUAAGACCCCCGUAGCUGAAAU
RNAcentral lists this ribosomal RNA (431 nucleotides) under Streptomyces ficellus. RNAcentral's name for it is "partial 23S ribosomal RNA". It matches the Rfam family "Bacterial large subunit ribosomal RNA", at positions 1 to 385 of the family's 2925-position model. The record is from RNAcentral. Lineage: Bacteria; Bacillati; Actinomycetota; Actinomycetes; Kitasatosporales; Streptomycetaceae.